CCUACGGGAGGCAGCAGUGGGGAAUUUUCCGCAAUGGGCGAAAGCCUGACGGAGCAACACCGCGUGAGGGAUGAAGGCCUCUGGGCUGUAAACCUCUUUUAUCAAGGAAGAAGAUCUGACGGUACUUGAUGAAUAAGCCACGGCUAAUUCCGUGCCAGCAGCCGCGGUAAUACGGAGGAUCCAAGCGUUAUCCGGAAUUAUUGGGCGUAAAGCGUCCGCAGGCGGUCUGUCAAGUCUGCUGUUAAAGCGUGGAGCUUAACUCCAUUUCGGCAGUGGAAACUGACAGACUAGAGUGUGGUAGGGGCAGAGGGAAUUCCCGGUGUAGCGGUGAAAUGCGUAGAUAUCGGGAAGAACACCAGUGGCGAAGGCGCUCUGCUGGGCCAUAACUGACGCUCAUGGACGAAAGCCAGGGGAGCGAAAGGGAUUAGAUACCCCUGUAGUCCUGGCCGUAAACGAUGAACACUAGGUGUCGGGGGAAUCGACCCCCUCGGUGUCGUAGCCAACGCGUUAAGUGUUCCGCCUGGGGAGUACGCAGGCAAGUGUGAAACUCAAAGGAAUUGACGG
This 564-nucleotide ribosomal RNA is filed under the name uncultured bacterium. RNAcentral describes it as "bacterial SSU rRNA". It matches the Rfam family "Bacterial small subunit ribosomal RNA", at positions 338 to 916 of the family's 1533-position model. The record is from RNAcentral.